This 253-nucleotide ribosomal RNA is filed under the name uncultured bacterium. RNAcentral's name for it is "partial 16S ribosomal RNA". It matches the Rfam family "Bacterial small subunit ribosomal RNA", at positions 524 to 776 of the family's 1533-position model. The record is from RNAcentral.
GACGGAGGAGGCAAGCGUUAUCCGGAAUCACUGGGCUUAAAGGGCGCUUAGGCGGUAGGCCAAGUCCGUGGUGAAAUCCUUCGGCUCAACCGGAGAAUGGCCUCGGAUACUGGUCUUCUAGAGGGAGGUAGGGGCAGCGGGAACUGCCAGUGGAGCGGUGAAAUGCGUUGAUAUUGGCAGGAACGCCGGUGGCGAAAGAGCGCUGUUGGACCUCUUCUGACGCUGAGGCGCGUUAGCUAGGGGAGCAAACGGG